CAUAACAGAACAAGCAAAACAAUAGGAGUACAACUUUUGAACAAACUUGGACAACAAUAAACAAAUCGCUAUGAUAAAAAUGGAAGGAUUAGAGGAUUUUACACAAGACAAUAUCCGGAUUAAAACCCUACAAAUAUCCCGGACGACAAAAAUGACAACAAAAUGAACCACCAAAGCUCCACUCCGGCUGACCAAGAAAUGGAGCGUCUUCCCAAUUUCCAAACAUGGAAUCUUAGCCACCGACUUCUGUUGAUUGGUUUUUCCUUUGAAUUGGUCUCACUAGCAUGGAUCAGGCUUCUUAUGUUCCCCUCCCUUGUGUACCAAUUCGAUCAUGUGUGGGUCUCAAGGUGCGCUGGCAACGGAUUCUGGUUAAUGUUUGGCGCCUCUCGAGCCUGAACUUCAAUUCAACGGGUGUUGAUAAGUUCCUAAAUGGCUUUUUUGAACUUCCAACACUUUCCGUGUCAUGUACGGGGUGAUCCUGAACAGUAUUCACAACUCAUCGAGCGAUCAAGAUUUCUCGGAGUGGGGUUAGGCAACUUAGCUUCGACCGGAUUUGAUAGUCCCAGCUACCACAGUCGGUGGAACAAACUAUUGUAUGACUCUCCCAAUCGAGUGAAAGCCUUUCUCUUCGGUGCCCUAUCAUAACUGAAGUUUUGGCUCGAACGAAAACCCUUACCCACAUGGUUUUUGUAUGCUCUUGCAGGUAGGUAGUCAAUUAGUGGAGCUGGGUACUUGGAAAGUGAAGUAUGUCUUAUGGAGUCCCAUGGAGAGAAAUAAUGGCCCGAAGAAUUACCAGGAUAUCCACGGGGACGACAUAGAGACUGAGGGCCUAUUGCAAGGACGACCACUGGACCUUGUUGUUAGGGAGGCUCAAUAACAUCUUUUCUUUCCACGGGAAGGUCAUCCCGAGCAACUUGCUCACUCCAUCUGAGCCAGAACUUGCUAAAUCUUCCUAAGAUUCUCCUCUAUCUGAGAUUUGGAGGAGUGGUCCAGGACGAUAUCUGACGGAAGAGUGACAAAAAUACUAGGGUGAUCGGGAGAUGCCUAAGUUUGGGUGAGGACAUCAUCGGAGAAACCAAGCUGGGGCGGUAUGCAUGCCUUCCCAACCAUCCAUGCCCAAUACAUGUUUGCCACAUGUUGUCUCAAAAAUUUUACCUCUUCUGCCAACCUGUUGUCCUAUUCAACCAACUGUUUUCGGGCAUCGGUACCAACCCACUCAGUUCUAUUGUUCUCGGCCAUUAUCUUUUGCCUUUGAAUUGCAGGGAAGCGUUACUUUAGUACCACAAACCAACCACCUUUCCGGAAUUGAAACAGAACAAUAUGGGAGCAAUCUAUUAGUGAUAGGGCUUUUAACAGAUAGGUAAACACACAUUAGGGAUGCAAUGCACCUAGGCAGUUAACCCUUUCUAGCAUGCAUUUGCUUCGGUUAUUAUGCGUUAUUACGACUUUUUAUGUCCUUGAACCUUUUGAAUGUCUCCUAAACUUUCUUUUAUUUUAUUUAUAUUGAUUUUCUUUUCUUUUUUUUUCUUUUUAAUGGUGGUCGAAUCUUAUGUGGAUUGCAUACGUAUCAUGUCCCCACAUGAAUCAGACGGUGCGAAGUUCUAGCAAAAAGUAAAUAACAAUAAAAUAUUUUUUGGAAUCACAUAAAGAUGAACAACAGACUCAAAAUUCAAACGACC
This 1679-nucleotide long non-coding RNA is filed under the name Nicotiana benthamiana. RNAcentral describes it as "long non-coding RNA (NBEN_LNC013270)". Lineage: Eukaryota; Viridiplantae; Streptophyta; Magnoliopsida; Solanales; Solanaceae. The record is from RNAcentral.